Molecule: ribosomal RNA, 506 nt
Filed under: uncultured bacterium
Lineage: Bacteria
Description: partial 16S ribosomal RNA
Rfam family: Bacterial small subunit ribosomal RNA
Source: RNAcentral
GACGAACGCUGGCGGCGUGCUUAACACAUGCAAGUCGAACGGUGAAGGGACUGGUUUUGCUGGUCCUGGAUGAGUGGCGAACGGGUGAGUAACACGUGAGUAACCUGCCCCCUUCUUCUGGAUAACCGCAUGAAAGUGUGGCUAAUACGGGAUAUUCUGGGUCUGUCGCAUGGUGGGCCUGGGAAAGAUUGCGCCUUUUUUGGUGUUUUUGGUGGGGGAUGGGCUCGCGGCCUAUCAGCUUGUUGGUGGGGUGAUGGCCUACCAAGGCGGUGACGGGUAGCCGGCCUGAGAGGGUGGACGGUCACACUGGGACUGAGACACGGCCCAGACUCCUACGGGAGGCAGCAGUGGGGAAUAUUGCACAAUGGGCGCAAGCCUGAUGCAGCGACGCCGCGUGAGGGAUGGAGGCCGUCGGGUUGUGAACCUCUUUCGCCAGUGAAGCAGGCCUGCCUCUUUUUGUGGGUGGGUUGACGGUAGCUGGAUAAGAAGCGCCGGCUAACUACGUG